Molecule: transfer RNA, 68 nt
Filed under: Erythrobacter sanguineus
Lineage: Bacteria; Pseudomonadati; Pseudomonadota; Alphaproteobacteria; Sphingomonadales; Erythrobacteraceae
Also listed under: 9 other names
Rfam family: tRNA
About the family: Transfer RNA (tRNA) molecules are approximately 80 nucleotides in length. Their secondary structure includes four short double-helical elements and three loops (D, anti-codon, and T loops).
Source: RNAcentral
CCGUAGCUCAGCUGGAUAGAGCGCUGCCCUCCGAAGGCAGAGGUCACAGGUUCGAAUCCUGUCGGGUG